CGUUAUAACCGGCGAUUUCCGAAUGGGGAAACCCAGUGUGAUUCGUCACACUAUCAUUAACUGAAUCCAUAGGUUAAUGAGGCGAACCGGGGGAACUGAAACAUCUAAGUACCCCGAGGAAAAGAAAUCAACCGAGAUUCCCCCAGUAGCGGCGAGCGAACGGGGAGGAGCCCAGAGCCUGAAUCAGCAUGUGUGUUAGUGGAAGCGUCUGGAAAGGCGCGCGAUACAGGGUGACAGCCCCGUACACAAAAGCGCAUGUGCUGUGAGCUCGAUGAGUAGGGCGGGACACGUGGUAUCCUGUCUGAAUAUGGGGGGACCAUCCUCCAAGGCUAAAUACUCCUGACUGACCGAUAGUGAACCAGUACCGUGAGGGAAAGGCGAAAAGAACCCCGGCGAGGGGAGUGAAAAAGAACCUGAAACCGUGUACGUACAAGCAGUGGGAGCNNNNNNNNNNNNNNNNNNNNNNGGGCGUUAAGUUGCAGGGUAUAGACCCGAAACCCGGUGAUCUAGCCAUGGGCAGGUUGAAGGUUGGGUAACACUAACUGGAGGACCGAACCGACUAAUGUUGAAAAAUUAGCGGAUGACCUGUGGCUGGGGGUGAAAGGCCAAUCAAACCGGGAGAUAGCUGGUUCUCCCCGAAAGCUAUUUAGGUAGCGCCUCGUGAAUUCAUCUCCGGGGGUAGAGCACUGUUUCGGCUAGGGGGCCAUCCCGGCUUACCAACCCGAUGCAAACUGCGAAUACCGGAGAAUGUUAUCACGGGAGACACACGGCGGGUGCUAACGUCCGUCGUGAAGAGGGAAACAACCCAGACCGCCAGCUAAGGUCCCAAAGUCAUGGUUAAGUGGGAAACGAUGUGGGAAGGCCCAGACAGCCAGGAUGUUGGCUUAGAAGCAGCCAUCAUUUAAAGAAAGCGUAAUAGCUCACUGGUCGAGUCGGCCUGCGCGGAAGAUGUAACGGGGCUAAACCAUGCACCGAAGCUGCGGCAGCGANNUGCUGGAGGUAUCAGAAGUGCGAAUGCUGACAUAAGUAACGAUAAAGCGGGUGAAAAGCCCGCUCGCCGGAAGACCAAGGGUUCCUGUCCAACGUUAAUCGGGGCAGGGUGAGUCGACCCCUAAGGCGAGGCCGAAAGGCGUAGUCGAUGGGAAACGGGUUAAUAUUCCCGUACUUGGUGUUACUGCGAAGGGGGGACGGAGAAGGCUAUGUUGGCCGGGCGACGGUUGUCCCGGUUUAAGCGUGUAGGUGUGUGUUCCAGGUAAAUCCGGUUCACUUUAACACUGAGGCGUGACGACGAGGCACUACGGUGCUGAAGCAACAAAUGCCCUGCUUCCAGGAAAAGCCUCUAAGCAUCAGGUAACAUCAAAUCGUACCCCAAACCGACACAGGUGGUCAGGUAGAGAAUACCAAGGCGCUUGAGAGAACUCGGGUGAAGGAACUAGGCAAAAUGGUGCCGUAACUUCGGGAGAAGGCACGCUGACACGUAGGUGAAGUGAUUUACUCAUGGAGCUGAAGUCAGUCGAAGAUACCAGCUGGCUGCAACUGUUUAUUAAAAACACAGCACUGUGCAAACACGAAAGUGGACGUAUACGGUGUGACGCCUGCCCGGUGCCGGAAGGUUAAUUGAUGGGGUCAGCGCAAGCGAAGCUCCUGAUCGAAGCCCCGGUAAACGGCGGCCGUAACUAUAACGGUCCUAAGGUAGCGAAAUUCCUUGUCGGGUAAGUUCCGACCUGCACGAAUGGCGUAAUGAUGGCCAGGCUGUCUCCACCCGAGACUCAGUGAAAUUGAACUCGCUGUGAAGAUGCAGUGUACCCGCGGCAAGACGGAAAGACCCCGUGAACCUUUACUAUAGCUUGACACUGAACAUUGAGCCUUGAUGUGUAGGAUAGGUGGGAGGCUUUGAAGUGUGGACGCCAGUCUGCAUGGAGCCGACCUUGAAAUACCACCCUUUAAUGUUUGAUGUUCUAACGUGGACCCGUAAUCCGGGUUGCGGACAGUGUCUGGUGGGUAGUUUGACUGGGGCGGUCUCCUCCUAAAGAGUAACGGAGGAGCACGAAGGUUGGCUAAUCCUGGUCGGACAUCAGGAGGUUAGUGCAAUGGCAUAAGCCAGCUUGACUGCGAGCGUGACGGCGCGAGCAGGUGCGAAAGCAGGUCAUAGUGAUCCGGUGGUUCUGAAUGGAAGGGCCAUCGCUCAACGGAUAAAAGGUACUCCGGGGAUAACAGGCUGAUACCGCCCAAGAGUUCAUAUCGACGGCGGUGUUUGGCACCUCGAUGUCGGCUCAUCACAUCCUGGGGCUGAAGUAGGUCCCAAGGGUAUGGCUGUUCGCCAUUUAAAGUGGUACGCGAGCUGGGUUUAGAACGUCGUGAGACAGUUCGGUCCCUAUCUGCCGUGGGCGCUGGAGAACUGAGGGGGGCUGCUCCUAGUACGAGAGGACCGGAGUGGACGCAUCACUGGUGUUCGGGUUGUCAUGCCAAUGGCACUGCCCGGUAGCUAAAUGCGGAAGAGAUAAGUGCUGAAAGCAUCUAAGCACGAAACUUGCCCCGAGAUGAGUUCUCCCUGAGACUUAGAGUCUCCUGAAGGAACGUUGAAGACGACGACGUUGAUAGGCCGGGUGUGUAAG
Molecule: ribosomal RNA, 2615 nt
Filed under: Salmonella enterica subsp. enterica serovar Typhimurium
Lineage: Bacteria; Pseudomonadati; Pseudomonadota; Gammaproteobacteria; Enterobacterales; Enterobacteriaceae
Description: partial 23S ribosomal RNA
Rfam family: Bacterial large subunit ribosomal RNA
Source: RNAcentral